RNAcentral lists this ribosomal RNA (474 nucleotides) under uncultured bacterium. RNAcentral describes it as "bacterial SSU rRNA". It matches the Rfam family "Bacterial small subunit ribosomal RNA", at positions 74 to 543 of the family's 1533-position model. The record is from RNAcentral.
GGGGGGCAACCCCCCGAGUAGAGUGGCGAACGGGUGAGUAAUACAUCGGAACGUGCCCAGUAGCGGGGGAUAACCUCUCGAAAGAGAGGCUAGUACCGCAUACGUCCUACGGGAGAAAGAGGGGGAUCGCAAGACCUCUCACUAUUGGAGCGGCCGAUGUCGGAUUAGCUAGUUGGCGGGGUAACGGCCCACCAAGGCUACGAUCCGUAGCUGGUCUGAGAGGACGACCAGCCACACUGGAACUGAGACACGGUCCAGACUCCUACGGGAGGCAGCAGUGGGGAAUUUUGGACAAUGGGCGCAAGCCUGAUCCAGCCAUGCCGCGUGGGUGAAGAAGGCCUUCGGGUUGUAAAGCCCUUUCGGCUGGGACGAAAAGGUCCGCGCUAACACCGCGGAUCCAUGACGGUACCAGCAGAAGAAGCACCGGCUAACUACGUGCCAGCAGCCGCGGUAAUACGUAGGGUGCAGGCGUUA